This 498-nucleotide ribosomal RNA is filed under the name Mesorhizobium sp. RNAcentral describes it as "bacterial SSU rRNA". It matches the Rfam family "Bacterial small subunit ribosomal RNA", at positions 1 to 490 of the family's 1533-position model. The record is from RNAcentral. Lineage: Bacteria; Pseudomonadati; Pseudomonadota; Alphaproteobacteria; Hyphomicrobiales; Phyllobacteriaceae.
AAAUUGAAGAGUUUGAUCAUGGCUCAGAUUGAACGCUGGCGGCAGGCCUAACACAUGCAAGUCGAGCGGUAACACAGGGAGCUUGCUCCCGGGUGACGAGCGGCGGACGGGUGAGUAAUGUCUGGGAAACUGCCUGAUGGAGGGGGAUAACUACUGGAAACGGUAGCUAAUACCGCAUAACGUCGCAAGACCAAAGAGGGGGACCUUCGGGCCUCUUGCCAUCAGAUGUGCCCAGAUGGGAUUAGCUAGUAGGUGGGGUAACGGCUCACCUAGGCGACGAUCCCUAGCUGGUCUGAGAGGAUGACCAGCCACACUGGAACUGAGACACGGUCCAGACUCCUACGGGAGGCAGCAGUGGGGAAUAUUGCACAAUGGGCGCAAGCCUGAUGCAGCCAUGCCGCGUGUAUGAAGAAGGCCUUCGGGUUGUAAAGUACUUUCAGCGGGGAGGAAGGUGUUGAGGUUAAUAACCUCAGCAAUUGACGUUACCCGCAGAAGAAG